Molecule: long non-coding RNA, 1350 nt
Organism: Sapajus apella (tufted capuchin)
Lineage: Eukaryota; Metazoa; Chordata; Mammalia; Primates; Cebidae
Exons: 7
Source: RefSeq, a predicted model, not a curated record
GAGUGAGACUCCAUCUCAAACAAACAAACAAACAGACAAACAAACAAAACCAAGGAUUUUGAACUCAAUAAAUAUUAAAACAUCAAAUUAACAUAUUAAUGUUCUAAGGGAGAAACAUCAUAUGAUGAUCUUAAUAGAUGCAGGAAAUCAUUUGUUAAAUGUUACCAUCCAUUCGUGACUAAAAAAAUGAAAAGCAAACAAAUUAGGAAUACAAGGAUCAAUCAUCAUUCUUAAUGGUGCAAUUUUAUAGCAUUCCCGAGACUGGGAACUUGUCAAGGAUCCCUGCUUGCCUGCUACCAGUUUAUUGGUUAUCAUACUGGAGCUAGCCCACAUAGUUAGUAAAGAAAUUAAAGAUGUUAGGAUUUAAGUGAUAAAACUCAUCCAUAGAUGAUUGAUUAUCUACAUGGAACAUCCAAAAGAACCCCAUACAUAUUCAUGUUUGUUUGUUUGUUUUUUUUAGACAGGUUCUCGCUCUGUUGCCCAGGCUGCAACAGAGGUACAAGAUGUUGCUGACAGUGGUACAAACAUGGCCUCACUGCAGUCUUGAUCUCUUGGGCUCAAGCGAUUCUUCUGCCUCAGCCUCAGAGUACCUGGGAUCACAGGGGGAAGAUGGUCCUUUGGCUGUGAUGAUGUGGCCCCGAUUGCAGAAUUGAGUUGGAGGCUGAAGAUGUGAGCUCUGAUCCUUACCAGUUCUGGCUAAUGGAUCAGAAAAUCUCCAAGAAGGCCAAGAGAGCUGUCAAAUGAAGUGCACUGUAGCUCAAGACCAGAGAGAAGGGCCUUGGAGAAGGGAUCCAGGGACUAUAGAUCAGGAGCCAAAACUUGGAUAAUGAGAGAGCCGACGCCCCUUCACUGGGGUGGAUGAGCAGCAGAGACAGGGAGACCUGGCCCUCCCAGAACAGAGUGAAGCUGAUCAGCAAUAUUCAACUCUGAACAAAAUGCCAAAAACAAGUACCUGAAGGCGAAAGAGAGUGAACGAAAGCAGUCAAGUUUUGGAGGAAGAUGAAACUUGGAAGAAGGUGCCAUUAAGAGGAGGCCUCCUAAAUUCUGUCCACAAGCCUAUUUGCAGGCCUGACAACCCUAGAAUAAGACCAUUGGUAGAGGAUGGCAGAGCUUGAUGUCUGGCUUCCUGGAUGACCUGAAGGUACACAUCCCAGCUAGAUAAUUACAUGAGACAUAAAUAAAUCCCUGUGUUGUUUUCUUGUUUAAGCCAUUGCAUUUUGGGAGCCUUUUUUCUUUCAAGGCAUCCCACCCUGUCUGCAUCUACCUAUUAAGUAUCUCUUCAAUUUGUGAUUCCUUUUUUUUUUUUUUUUUUUUUUUUGAGACAGAAUCUUACUUUGUCGCCCAGGCUGG